RNAcentral lists this ribosomal RNA (658 nucleotides) under Streptococcus vestibularis. Its description in RNAcentral is "bacterial SSU rRNA". The record is from RNAcentral. Lineage: Bacteria; Bacillati; Bacillota; Bacilli; Lactobacillales; Streptococcaceae.
UGCAAGUAGAACGCUGAGAGAGGAGCUUGCUCUUCUUGAAUGAGUUGCGAACGGGUGAGUAACGCGUAGGUAACCUGCCUUGUAGCGGGGGAUAACUAUUGGAAACGAUAGCUAAUACCGCAUAACAAKGGGUGACACAUGUCAUUUAUUUGAAAGGGGCAAUUGCUCCACUACAAGAUGGACCUGCGUUGUAUUAGCUAGUAGGUGAGGUAACGGCUCACCUAGGCGACGAUACAUAGCCGACCUGAGAGGGUGAUCGGCCACACUGGGACUGAGACACGGCCCAGACUCCUACGGGAGGCAGCAGUAGGGAAUCUUCGGCAAUGGGGGCAACCCUGACCGAGCAACGCCGCGUGAGUGAAGAAGGUUUUCGGAUCGUAAAGCUCUGUUGUAAGUCAAGAACGAGUGUGAGAGUGGAAAGUUCACACUGUGACGGUAGCUUACCAGAAAGGGACGGCUAACUACGUGCCAGCAGCCGCGGUAAUACGUAGGUCCCGAGCGUUGUCCGGAUUUAUUGGGCGUAAAGCGAGCGCAGGCGGUUUGAUAAGUCUGAAGUUAAAGGCUGUGGCUCAACCAUAGUUCGCUUUGGAAACUGUCAAACUUGAGUGCAGAAGGGGAGAGUGGAAUUCCAUGUGUAGCGGUGAAAUGCGUAGAUAUA